Molecule: long non-coding RNA, 618 nt
Organism: Miniopterus natalensis
Lineage: Eukaryota; Metazoa; Chordata; Mammalia; Chiroptera; Miniopteridae
Source: RefSeq, a predicted model, not a curated record
UGACAGACUCAGGAGGGCCCCAGAGGCGCACACUGUGUUUCUUAUCCACGCUGCUUUCCCAGAAGGUUCCCGAGAAGUCAGAUACUGUGCUUCGUUGCAUAAUAUCCGGUCAGCCCAAGCCAGAGGUAACUUGGUAUAAAAAUGGUCAAACCAUAGAGGAGGGCGACAUUGUUUCCAGUUAUGAAUUCUUCGAGAAUCAGUAUAUUCAUGUGUUACAUCUCUACUGCUGUACCCGGAAUGACGCUGCUGUAUACCAGAUUUCGGCUAAGAACUGUUUUGGAAUGAUCUGCUGCUCUGCUUCCAUUGAGGUCGAGUGCUCGUCAGAGAGCACACAACUCUCACCUAACCCGAAAAGUGAUGGGGACACAGGUUGGAAAGGAGAAACACAGACAUGCAAGCAGAAAAGCACAAGUCAAACUGAUGAGAAAGAACCUUCUAAGGAGGCAGAGAGCCUCUCCUUGGGGACUCCUAUGUCAGCUGACGCCUCCUCCUCCAGGUUUAACCAUUUAUGCUCACUCCAGUUAUUGGCCAAUAAUGACAUUAAUGCAUCCAGUUCUGAAAAUCCCCUGGAUCUUAAAGCAACAAGGCAAACCGAGGAGGCUCAUGAUCCGAAUAGCA